GAUGAACGCUAGCUACAGGCUUAACACAUGCAAGUCGAGGGGCAGCAUGGUCUUAGCUAGCUAAGGCCGAUGGCGACCGGCGCACGGGUGAGUAACACGUAUCCAACCUGCCGUCUACUCUUGGACAGCCUUCUGAAAGGAAGAUUAAUACAAGAUGGCAUCAUGAGUCCGCAUGUUCACAUGAUUAAAGGUAUUCCGGUAGACGAUGGGGAUGCGUUCCAUUAGAUAGUAGGCGGGGUAACGGCCCACCUAGUCUUCGAUGGAUAGGGGUUCUGAGAGGAAGGUCCCCCACAUUGGAACUGAGACACGGUCCAAACUCCUACGGGAGGCAGCAGUGAGGAAUAUUGGUCAAUGGGCGAGAGCCUGAACCAGCCAAGUAGCGUGAAGGAUGACUGCCCUAUGGGUUGUAAACUUCUUUUAUAAAGGAAUAAAGUCGGGUAUGGAUACCCGUUUGCAUGUACUUUAUGAAUAAGGAUCGGCUAACUCCGUGCCAGCAGCCGCGGUAAUACGGAGGAUCCGAGCGUUAUCCGGAUUUAUUGGGUUUAAAGGGAGCGUAGAUGGAUGUUUAAGUCAGUUGUGAAAGUUUGCGGCUCAACCGUAAAAUUGCAGUUGAUACUGGAUAUCUUGAGUGCAGUUGAGGCAGGCGGAAUUCGUGGUGUAGCGGUGAAAUGCUUAGAUAUCACGAAGAACUCCGAUUGCGAAGGCAGCCUGCUAAGCUGCAACUGACAUUGAGGCUCGAAAGUGUGGGUAUCAAACAGGAUUAGAUACCCUGGUAGUCCACACGGUAAACGAUGAAUACUCGCUGUUUGCGAUAUACAGCAAGCGGCCAAGCGAAAGCGUUAAGUAUUCCACCUGGGGAGUACGCCGGCAACGGUGAAACUCAAAGGAAUUGACGGGGGCCCGCACAAGCGGAGGAACAUGUGGUUUAAUUCGAUGAUACGCGAGGAACCUUACCCGGGCUUAAAUUGCAGAUGAAUUACGGUGAAAGCCGUAAGCCGCAAGGCAUCUGUGAAGGUGCUGCAUGGUUGUCGUCAGCUCGUGCCGUGAGGUGUCGGCUUAAGUGCCAUAACGAGCGCAACCCUUGUUGUCAGUUACUAACAGGUUCCGCUGAGGACUCUGACAAGACUGCCAUCGUAAGAUGUGAGGAAGGUGGGGAUGACGUCAAAUCAGCACGGCCCUUACGUCCGGGGCUACACACGUGUUACAAUGGGGGGUACAGAGGGCCGCUACCACGCGAGUGGAUGCCAAUCCCAAAAACCUCUCUCAGUUCGGACUGGAGUCUGCAACCCGACUCCACGAAGCUGGAUUCGCUAGUAAUCGCGCAUCAGCCACGGCGCGGUGAAUACGUUCCCGGGCCU
RNAcentral lists this ribosomal RNA (1358 nucleotides) under uncultured bacterium. RNAcentral's name for it is "bacterial SSU rRNA". It matches the Rfam family "Bacterial small subunit ribosomal RNA", at positions 28 to 1381 of the family's 1533-position model. The record is from RNAcentral.